CCUACGGGAGGCAGCAGUGGGGAAUAUUGCACAAUGGGGGAAACCCUGAUGCAGCGACGCCGCGUGAAGGAAGAAGGAUUUCGGUAUGUAAACUUCUAUCAGCAGGGACGAAAAAUACGGGUACUGAGUAAGAAACCCCGGCCUAAGAACGUGCAAGCAGCCCCGGAAUAACGUAGGGGGCAAGCGUUGCCCGGAUUAACUGGGCGUAAGGGGCACGUAGGCGGCAAGCUAAGUGAGAAGUGAAAUCCCGCGGCUCAACCUCGGAACUGCAUUUAAAACUGUUGAACUAGAGUGCAGGAGAGGUAAGUGGAAUUCCUAGUGUAGCGGUGAAAUGCGUAGAUAUUAGGAGGAACACCAGUGGCGAAGGCGGCUCACUGGACUGUAAAUGACGCUGAGGCUCGAAAGCGUGGGGAGCAAACAGGAUUAGAUACCCGAGUAGUC
RNAcentral lists this ribosomal RNA (441 nucleotides) under uncultured bacterium. RNAcentral describes it as "partial 16S ribosomal RNA". It matches the Rfam family "Bacterial small subunit ribosomal RNA", at positions 338 to 795 of the family's 1533-position model. The record is from RNAcentral.